ACCAAAGUGGUCGAUUGCGUGGUC
Molecule: non-coding RNA, 24 nt
Filed under: Arabidopsis thaliana (thale cress)
Lineage: Eukaryota; Viridiplantae; Streptophyta; Magnoliopsida; Brassicales; Brassicaceae
Source: RNAcentral